This 259-nucleotide long non-coding RNA is filed under the name Gossypium barbadense (sea-island cotton). Its description in RNAcentral is "long non-coding RNA (GBAR_LNC010319)". Lineage: Eukaryota; Viridiplantae; Streptophyta; Magnoliopsida; Malvales; Malvaceae. The record is from RNAcentral.
AGUGAUUUCUGGAUCCCCUGUUCUGACUUUGGAAAUUCACCAUAAAUUUUACAAAUAUAAUUAGAAGUCACAAUUUAUAUGUACAGAUUCCUUAUUGAGUCUAGUUUUAUUAGAGACAAACGCCAUAGUAAUUGAAGCUCUGUACAGGGAGAUAUCUGAUUCGUAAUACACAGAGGUCAGAGUAGUCGAACCCUAAAAUAGGGGAGAAUUUAACUAAUAAAAUGUACUAAUUGGCCUGACCAAAAAUUCUAGAAAAAUA